AUUGGGCACAGUGAUGCAUGCCUGUAAUCCCAGCGACUUGGGAGGCUGAGGCAGGAGGGUCCCAGGUUCAAAGCCAGCCUCAGCAACUUAGCAACUCAGAGAAACCCUGUCUCUA
RNAcentral lists this small RNA (115 nucleotides) under Marmota monax (woodchuck). Lineage: Eukaryota; Metazoa; Chordata; Mammalia; Rodentia; Sciuridae. The record is from RNAcentral.